GGGGUUGUAGCUCAGUGGUAGAGCAUUUGCCUAGCAUGUGAAAGGCCCUGAGUUUGAUCCUCAGCACCA
This 69-nucleotide transfer RNA is filed under the name Ictidomys tridecemlineatus (thirteen-lined ground squirrel). Its description in RNAcentral is "Spermophilus tridecemlineatus (thirteen-lined ground squirrel) tRNA". It matches the Rfam family "tRNA". Rfam says of the family: Transfer RNA (tRNA) molecules are approximately 80 nucleotides in length. Their secondary structure includes four short double-helical elements and three loops (D, anti-codon, and T loops). The record is from Rfam by way of RNAcentral. Lineage: Eukaryota; Metazoa; Chordata; Mammalia; Rodentia; Sciuridae.